Molecule: ribosomal RNA, 122 nt
Filed under: Ktedonobacter sp.
Lineage: Bacteria; Bacillati; Chloroflexota; Ktedonobacteria; Ktedonobacterales; Ktedonobacteraceae
Description: partial 23S ribosomal RNA
Rfam family: Bacterial large subunit ribosomal RNA
Source: RNAcentral
CAAGCUACACAGAGUACGAGGUGGAUGCCUGGGCGCUGAAGGCCGAAGAAGGACGCGGAGACCGGCGAAACGUUCAAGGGGAGCUGCAUGCAAGCGAUGAGCCUUGAGAGUCCGAAUGAGGC